RNAcentral lists this ribosomal RNA (484 nucleotides) under uncultured bacterium. RNAcentral describes it as "partial 16S ribosomal RNA". It matches the Rfam family "Bacterial small subunit ribosomal RNA", at positions 30 to 507 of the family's 1533-position model. The record is from RNAcentral.
AUUGAACGCUGGCGGCAGGCCUAACACAUGCAAGUCGAGCGGCUGAACGGUGCUUGCUCCUGGAUUCAGCGGCGGACGGGUGAGUAAUGCCUAGGAAUCUGCCUGGUAGCGGGGGAUAACGUCCGGACACGGGGGCAAUUACGCCAUUAGCCCUGAGGGCCAACGGGGGGGAUCAUGGGACCUUAGGCCCUUGGAUGAGCCUAGGUCGGAUUAGCUAGUUGGUGGGGUAAAGGCCUACCAAGGCGACGAUCCGUAACUGGUCUGAGAGGAUGAUCAGUCACACUGGAACUGAGACACGGUCCAGACUCCUACGGGAGGCAGCAGUGGGGAAUAUUGGACAAUGGGCGAAAGCCUGAUCCAGCCAUGCCGCGUGUGUGAAGAAGGUCUUCGGAUUGUAAAGCACUUUAAGUUGGGAAGAAGGGCAGUAAGUUAAUACCUUGCUGUUUUGACGUUACCAACAGAAUAAGCACCGGCUAACUUCGUG